RNAcentral lists this small RNA (28 nucleotides) under Bombyx mori (domestic silkworm). Its description in RNAcentral is "ovarian small RNA-35381". The record is from RNAcentral. Lineage: Eukaryota; Metazoa; Arthropoda; Insecta; Lepidoptera; Bombycidae.
UGUAAUGUGGUGCUUUUUGGGGAUUGUC